RNAcentral lists this non-coding RNA (45 nucleotides) under Trichobilharzia regenti. The record is from RNAcentral. Lineage: Eukaryota; Metazoa; Platyhelminthes; Trematoda; Strigeidida; Schistosomatidae.
AUCCAGCUGACAAAUCCCAAAUAGGAUGAAAUGUGCAUCCUGGAU